RNAcentral lists this ribosomal RNA (1185 nucleotides) under Triticum aestivum (bread wheat). RNAcentral's name for it is "partial small subunit ribosomal RNA". The record is from RNAcentral. Lineage: Eukaryota; Viridiplantae; Streptophyta; Magnoliopsida; Poales; Poaceae.
AUGGAGGACGCAUGGAAGGGUCUUGACUGGGUUCAUUCGAAGGAGAAAUACAAGGAAUAUUUGAAGCAGCUUCCAGAUAUCAGCUCCAGCAAGAGCAAGACAGCAUCUGUGGCAAACCCUCGUGUGGUCCAGAAGAGCAAAGGAGUUACAAUGAAGAAGAAUCUGAAGUUGCCUCAAACCAAGCAACAGAUGCCGAGGGCAGAUGCAGAAAUAAAUGUGGACAAGCAAGCUGUGGCGCAAACUAUUGUCCCAACUAUAGUGAUUAGAGAGCCAACCACCACUCAAGAUGUGUCAACAAUUCCUGUUGAGCCUACAACCAUCACAAGAGUUCAACAGAUCAAGGGUAAGAUUCCUCUGUCAACAACCCCACCUAAACCAGCUAAGCAGCAAAAGAUUAUCAAGUUUGCCAAGGGCACAAAGGAGGAACAGGGCAGAAAAGGUGUGGGGUCCAAACAUGAGACAGAACAAUGUGCCACAACCAUUGAUGCAGGACUACCAAGUUCUGCUAGUUUGGUGCCAACUCAGGCUACAAAGAUGCCAACUGCAGAUACCAGUGUACCAACUGAAGUGUCAAUUAGCACGCGGGUCACAGUCAAAACUAGCAGAGUUGCUCAGGAAGACUCAACUGCAACCGCAAGCCCCAAGGUGACAACUCAUAGAGAUUCUUCAAUGACAAACAUGGAAGGAGGUCGUCAAUCUGUCAAACUACCGUCUCCAAGAGCUAUUAUAGAGCAUCCAAGCAAGCCUGCAUCACAAAGAGCUGAUUUUCAGAACACAUUAACACAAGAGGAGGUGUUAAACAUCGUAAGUAGGUGCAAGUCUCCCAGGCCACCAACCACAACAUUACUGCGAACCAGGUCAGCGAAUGAUGCACUUGUGAAUGUGCCGCAAGAAGAUGCCCCUGGCCUUCAAUCCAUAUGCAGAUCAAAUUCUUACAGCUAUCAUGGUGACGGGUACUGCGAUGCACCACCCUUUGACCUGGGCAUAGAUGAUGAUGCUGGGCCUGCUGGAGCACUUGCUCCAGCAGCACAAACAGGGGAAGACAACAUGGUUGUCAUAGAUGAGGAUGAGUUGGACCUAGCAACAGUGAAUGAAGGAUGCGUUGCUACUGAUGCUGGUAAGGGAUUAUCUCACCAGCCAAAUAUUGGAUCACCAGAUAGCUGCCACACCCCGAUAUGCGGAUAA